AGGACAUUCACAAAUGAGAAUAAACUGAACUUGCAUUUUCCUCUGAAUUGAAGAUACCACAAAUUACAUGGAACAGUUGCUUUGAGGAAAGAAAAAGUCUACUAUGGGAAAAAGCAUCCUUUUUCAUCACCAUGGAAGUGAUGGAAAUCAUCCUAACUGUGCGAACUCGCAAGAAUGUGCCAACAUGUCUGGCAGAAAUAAUAGCAUUUAACUGAAGGGGGAAACAGAAGACACACUGGCAUUUCCACUGCUAGCAAAUAUGCUAUCACUUUCCCUAAUAAUUACUUCAGGUUGCACAUGGUUGACAUUUACAACAAGAAACAAAACAGCAAUCAAAAGCAAAUACCAUGAAAGAUA
This is a long non-coding RNA of Zonotrichia leucophrys gambelii, 357 nucleotides long. RefSeq lists it as uncharacterized. NCBI's taxonomy places the organism in Eukaryota, Metazoa, Chordata, Aves, Passeriformes, Passerellidae. The record is from RefSeq and is a predicted model, not a curated record. The transcript is spliced from 3 exons.